This 424-nucleotide ribosomal RNA is filed under the name uncultured bacterium. RNAcentral's name for it is "bacterial SSU rRNA". It matches the Rfam family "Bacterial small subunit ribosomal RNA", at positions 355 to 776 of the family's 1533-position model. The record is from RNAcentral.
UGGGGAAUAUUGGUCAAUGGACGCAAGUCUGAACCAGCCAUGCCGCGUGCAGGAAGACGGCUCUAUGAGUUGUAAACUGCUUUUGUACGAGGGUAAACUCGGAUACGUGUAUCCGUUUGAAAGUAUCGUACGAAUAAGGAUCGGCUAACUCCGUACCAGCAGCCGCGGUAAUACGGAGGAUUCAAGCGUUAUCCGGAUUUAUUGGGUUUAAAGGGUGCGUAGGCGGUCGGAUAAGUUAGAGGUGAAAUCCCGAGGCUCAACUUCGGAAUUGCCUCUGAUACUGUUCGGCUAGAGAGUAGUUGCGGUAGGCGGAAUGUAUGGUGUAGCGGUGAAAUGCUUAGAGAUCAUACAGAGCACCGAUUGCGAAGGCAGCUUACCAAGCUACUUCUGACGUUGAGGCACGAAAGCGUGGGGAGCAAACAGG